CACAUUAAAUGAAGAUUAUGGCAUGAAUCCCCUGCCUUCCACUCAGUGCCAGUGCACGCUGGAGUGAGAGUUGCCUCCU
RNAcentral lists this long non-coding RNA (79 nucleotides) under Coturnix japonica (Japanese quail). RNAcentral's name for it is "lncRNA (ENSCJPG00005012448.1)". The record is from RNAcentral. Lineage: Eukaryota; Metazoa; Chordata; Aves; Galliformes; Phasianidae.